AUUGAUUGGCCCAGGCUUCGUUGACUGCUUCCACAUAUACCUUGACCCCUGACUAAGCCUGCCAACGCAUUAAAUGAAACUCAGCGUUUCAUCCACACUCCCUCACUUCGAUUCCAUGCUGUGACAUUUUGGAUUUUAUUUUCUCUUUCAGCGCAUUUUUGAAUUGUAACCCGGUUCGAUUCUCUGCUCAGCCACAUUUUCAAAUGUUC
This 209-nucleotide long non-coding RNA is filed under the name Lathyrus oleraceus (garden pea). RNAcentral describes it as "Pisum sativum (pea) long non-coding RNA (PSAT_LNC025582)". Lineage: Eukaryota; Viridiplantae; Streptophyta; Magnoliopsida; Fabales; Fabaceae. The record is from RNAcentral.